UACGGAGUUGAGUAAAAGGUAACUCAUUAAAAUAUGUUUUUAAUAAUGUAGGUUCAAUCCCUACCUUCGUGC
This 72-nucleotide transfer RNA is filed under the name Compsopogon caeruleus. RNAcentral's name for it is "tRNA-His". It matches the Rfam family "tRNA". Rfam says of the family: Transfer RNA (tRNA) molecules are approximately 80 nucleotides in length. Their secondary structure includes four short double-helical elements and three loops (D, anti-codon, and T loops). Lineage: Eukaryota; Rhodophyta; Compsopogonophyceae; Compsopogonales; Compsopogonaceae. The record is from RNAcentral.